This 446-nucleotide ribosomal RNA is filed under the name uncultured bacterium. Its description in RNAcentral is "partial 16S ribosomal RNA". It matches the Rfam family "Bacterial small subunit ribosomal RNA", at positions 338 to 795 of the family's 1533-position model. The record is from RNAcentral.
CCUACGGGUGGCAGCAGUCGAGAAUCAUUCACAAUGGGGGAAACCCUGAUGGUGCGACGCCGCGUGGGGGAAUGAAGGUCUUCGGAUUGUAAACCCCUUUCAUGUAGGAGCAAAUUAAAAAGAUAGUACCACAAGAGGAAGAGACGGCUAACUCUGAGCCAGCAGCCGCGUUAAUACAGAGGUCUCAAGCGUUGUUCGGAAUCACUUGGCGUAAAGGGUGCGUAGGCGGUUUCGUAAGUCGGGUGUGAAAGGCGCGGGCUCAACCGGCGGACGGCACAUGAUACUGCGAGACGAGAGUAAAGGAGGGGGAACCGGAAUUCUCGGUGUAGCAGUGAAAUGCGUAGAUAUCGAGAGGAACACUCGUGGCGAAGGCGGGUUCCUGGACAUUAACUGACGCUGAGGCACGAAGGCCAGGGGAGCGAAAGGGAUUAGAUACCCCAGUAGUC